This 321-nucleotide long non-coding RNA is filed under the name Olea europaea subsp. europaea. The record is from RNAcentral. Lineage: Eukaryota; Viridiplantae; Streptophyta; Magnoliopsida; Lamiales; Oleaceae.
CUCCAAAAACAGAGAUCUGAGAUAUGUACCUUAAUUAUAAACGAAAUUCAAUUAAUCCGAGAUCGAGAGAAUUAAAGAUAAAACCAAUCGAUCUGGCUGAACCAAUUACGACUUCAUGCAAAUCGAUUCACUUCAAAAAUCAACUUGGAAAAUUUCCAAAGAGCGAAAUUGAAGAGAUCUGUAGGCGUCGGACGGCUGAUUAAACGAAACCGCAGCGUAAAAUGUCAAUAUAUAACUGAGGACAAGUAGGGAUAGUUAUUGGAAUUAUCUCCUUUUUAAAAAAUUACUCAAAAUGCCAUGCUCUUUGUGUAUAAAUAUUUU